Molecule: long non-coding RNA, 1665 nt
Organism: Solenopsis invicta (red fire ant)
Lineage: Eukaryota; Metazoa; Arthropoda; Insecta; Hymenoptera; Formicidae
Exons: 4
Source: RefSeq, a predicted model, not a curated record
UCGUCAGAAACGUUUGUGAGUUAUCCAGAUAAUUUUAAUAAAAUAUUUUAAAGUCAUGUAAUUGACCGAAAUAUAGAUUCCAGGCGCUACUGGUCCUGAAGUACCAGAAGGCGCGUUCGGUGUAAUCUCUAGUAUUUCGAUACUCCUGGUUCUUUCUUGACAGUAAGGAUAAACAAUGUGCAGUCACAGUAAGUCACAUAUUUCCAAAAUAUCUGGGGGGGCUAUUACGGUUUCUGAAACGAGGUGAAAAUUACAAAAAACCGUGAUAGCCCCCCUGAGAAGGUGCAAUUGGUGUUGCAAAAGCGAAUUGGUAUUUAAUCAACGAGAUUCAGAGACGGAAGCACAAGCCCAGGAUGAUCCUUCCCGAGAAAGCAGUCUCCGUACUUUGUCUGGAACCAAGAUUCAUAACUCCAGCGAUUAGAACCUGUUCGGAUGCACUCAAAUGCAAAGUUUGUCGUGCCAUGAGAUAUUUUCCUCCUGAACAAUGCAGUAUGGUCAAUGUUAAAGUGAUCGGGUGUUUACUGUUUGUAUGUGAUGGCGACACACUAUAGUUAUACCGGUGAUUCAAGAACAGAUUGGAAUAUUCCAUCUGCGACUUGCUCUCAAUGUUUAAGGUUGGUAGGCGUUGUUGCAGCAUAUCCAGGUCAUUUUGUUGCUUAUUGUAGACGACUUUCAGGACUAUGGGAGCAAUACAAUGAUCUAAAUACUACAGUAAAAUCUUGUUCACAUAAUGAGACAAUUAGUCCUAUUGCUGCAGUUUAUAUCAUAUAUGAAGAUAAUUAAAUAUGAUUGCAUCGUUCGAUGUAGACUGUCAUAAUCAUUUAAAUUUGACAUAUUCGUCUAUAAGACCGCCACGACGCGGAAAAAACAAGAUCUAACGAUUGAAAGUGAUAGAGGCACAGUUGUCGAGAGCAAUCAUGUCACUCCAGAACCGAGUAAUGUAGCGGCAAAUCAUCAUCGUCAUCAGCUCAGAAUCAAAACAAAACACCAACAUGAUUCAAACAGGCAUUCAAAUAAUCAAUUACUUAACACCACCAAAAGGCGUAAUUCCUUAAUUUUUAAUACAAAUAGUAUGCUAUACGGGAUUCCUAUGAAGAUGUAUGUAUACGCGAGUACGAACGUAUUAUUUCAUCCAAGUUAAAUAUGUGGAAUGCAAGUUUAAAUUCUCGUCCCUUUUUGCAGACAAAACUCAGAUCCAUGCAUCGUCUUUUCAUUGUUAGAGCCAAUUUGUAUUUUACAGCACGUAUACAUACAUGAUGUCAUACGUAUUCCUCUAAUGAGUCUUAAUAUAUAAUCUGUACACAACAAACGUCCGUAUCUCUUAUUAUUCUAAUUGAAAUGUACAAAGCUUGAUACGUAAGAGAGUCUAAUACUUAGGAGAGAUAGUUACAAAAGUGAGAAAAUAAUACAUAUACAAAUAGUAGGAUUCUUAACUUAUGUCUAUGGCCGCGAUAAUAACAUCUUAUUUGUUUAUAUAUAUACAUAUAUACAUAUAUAUAUAUUUGUAUGAAGAACAGCGAUACAGCCGAAUAAUGAAAAGUACAAUUGUGCAAUAUGUAUCAAUGGUUCUAACUGCGUGAUAGAAGUACUUUGAUCGAUAACAUUAAGUACAUAUUUUAAGUAAUAAAUGUGUAAUAAUUUGGAUAAUCUUUACACUACAACAAA